This is a long non-coding RNA of Physeter macrocephalus (sperm whale), 370 nucleotides long. RefSeq lists it as uncharacterized. NCBI's taxonomy places the organism in Eukaryota, Metazoa, Chordata, Mammalia, Artiodactyla, Physeteridae. The transcript has 4 exons. The record is from RefSeq and is a predicted model, not a curated record.
AGCUAUGCCAUCAUUUUGUUGGAGACUGCCACACGAAGAGACCUGGUCUUGAAAGAAGAGCCUCAUUCUGUGGGGCAUCCUUGUGUCUCCCUCUUGAGGAGCUGAUUACAGGGAAGACUGAGAAUCUCUGUCCUUGCCCUUCAGAGUAUGCAGAGUUGAUUAGGAGGUACAGGAAGAGGUACAGGAAAGACAACCCAUCCUAAAGACCCAAUUUGAACAAGUAAAGAAGCUUUUAUACAAGAUGAAUCCCAACAAAGUUGUCCGGUGAAUCUGAUGAUGUGUCUGUUGGAGAAGUACAGGAAACACCCAGAAGUACUUGUGGCAGAAAGGACCCAAUACCUAAUGCCUGAAAACCAAAAAACGGACCUCC